CCUACGGGUGGCAGCAGUCGAGAAUCAUUCACAAUGGGGGAAACCCUGAUGGUGCGACGCCGCGUGGGGGAAUGAAGGUCUUCGGAUUGUAAACCCCUGUCAUGUGGGAGCAAAUUAAAAAGAUAGUACCACAAGAGGAAGAGACGGCUAACUCUGUGCCAGCAGCCGCGGUAAUACAGAGGUCUCAAGCGUUGUUCGGAAUCACUGGGCGUAAAGCGUGCGUAGGCUGUUUCGUAAGUCGUGUGUGAAAGGCGCGGGCUCAACCCGCGGACGGCACAUGAUACUGCGAGACUAGAGUAAGGGAGGGGGAACCGGAAUUCUCGGUGUAGCAGUGAAAUGCGUAGAUAUCGAGAGGAACACUCGUGGCGAAGGCGGGUUCCUGGACAGUAACUGACGCUGAGGCACGAAGGCCAGGGGAGCGAAAGGGAUUAGAUACCCCGGUAGUC
This 446-nucleotide ribosomal RNA is filed under the name uncultured bacterium. RNAcentral describes it as "partial 16S ribosomal RNA". It matches the Rfam family "Bacterial small subunit ribosomal RNA", at positions 338 to 795 of the family's 1533-position model. The record is from RNAcentral.